GAAUUGUCUAAUAUGGAAAGAAUGAAAGACAGCUAAUAAGCAACUCUCUGCAAGAAGACAUAUGGCUUAGGUUCUGCUGAGCUAUUGAAUCUACUUGGAGAGAGUCAAACACAGAAUCCCUUUGAAUUUAAUGGCCAUUCCAGGUGAUUUGAACAGCCAAAUAAGAAACAGGUCCUCUUCAAUGUACAAUCUGCCAAGUAUGAAGUCUGAAUGACCAUCAUUAUUAUGUAUUUAAUGUGCAUAGAAAAUCUAUCUGCAACCUUCCAGAGUGUACCAGAAGUUUGGAAUGUACAUUAUUAUUGGCUCCAUCUCAAACCACUCAUAAAUCAAAGAAAAUAGCAGUUCCAGAGGAAUCAUCAUAGAGGCUUCUAGGCCCCCAUGCUGUGUGAACCUGGUGAGAAAGGGAAGUCUGCUCUCACUGGACACUGGAACUGUUUGUCUCUGUCUCUGCUGUACUUUCCCUGCCUCUACCUCACU
Molecule: long non-coding RNA, 477 nt
Filed under: Homo sapiens (human)
Lineage: Eukaryota; Metazoa; Chordata; Mammalia; Primates; Hominidae
Description: non-protein coding LINC02541:62
Source: RNAcentral